AUUGAACGCUGGCGGCAUGCCUUACACAUGCAAGUCGAACGGUAACAGGUCUUCGGAUGCUGACGAGUGGCGAGCGGGUGAGUAAUACAUCGGAACGUGCCUAGUAGUGGGGGAUAACUACUCGAAAGAGUGGCUAAUACCGCAUGAGAUCUACGGAUGAAAGCAGGGGAUCGCAAGACCUUGUGCUACUAGAGCGGCCGAUGGCAGAUUAGGUAGUUGGUGGGAUAAAAGCUUACCAAGCCGACGAUCUGUAGCUGGUCUGAGAGGACGAUCAGCAAGACUGGGACGGAGACACGGCCCAGACUCCUACGGGAGGCAGCAGUGGGGAAUUUUGGACAAUGGGCGAAAGCCUGAUCCAGCAAUGCCGCGUGCAGGAUGAAGGCCUUCGGGUUGUAAACUGCUUUUGUACGGAACGAAAAGCCCCGGGUUAAUACCCUGGGGUCAUGACGGUACCGUAAGAAUAAGCACCGGCUAACUACGUGCCAGCCGCCGCGGUAA
Molecule: ribosomal RNA, 498 nt
Filed under: uncultured bacterium
Lineage: Bacteria
Description: partial 16S ribosomal RNA
Rfam family: Bacterial small subunit ribosomal RNA
Source: RNAcentral